GGGUUGUGAGGUUAAGCGACUAAGCGUACACGGUGGAUGCCCUGGCAGUCAGAGGCGAUGAAGGACGUGCUAAUCUGCGAUAAGCGUCGGUGAGGUGAUAUGAACCGUUAUAACCGGCGAUUUCCGAAUGGGGAAACCCAGUGUGUUUCGACACACUAUCAUUAACUGAAUCCAUAGGUUAAUGAGGCGAACCGGGGGAACUGAAACAUCUAAGUACCCCGAGGAAAAGAAAUCAACCGAGAUUCCCCCAGUAGCGGCGAGCGAACGGGGAGGAGCCCAGAGCCUGAAUCAGUGUGUGUGUUAGUGGAAGCGUCUGGAAAGGCGCGCGAUACAGGGUGACAGCCCCGUACACAAAAAUGCACAUACUGUGAGCUCGAUGAGUAGGGCGGGACACGUGGUAUCCUGUCUGAAUAUGGGGGGACCAUCCUCCAAGGCUAAAUACUCCUGACUGACCGAUAGUGAACCAGUACCGUGAGGGAAAGGCGAAAAGAACCCCGGCGAGGGGAGUGAAAAAGAACCUGAAACCGUGUACGUACAAGCAGUGGGAGCCUCUUAAUGGGGUGACUGCGUACCUUUUGUAUAAUGGGUCAGCGACUUAUAUUCUGUAGCAAGGUUAACCGAAUAGGGGAGCCGAAGGGAAACCGAGUCUUAACUGGGCGUUAAGUUGCAGGGUAUAGACCCGAAACCCGGUGAUCUAGCCAUGGGCAGGUUGAAGGUUGGGUAACACUAACUGGAGGACCGAACCGACUAAUGUUGAAAAAUUAGCGGAUGACUUGUGGCUGGGGGUGAAAGGCCAAUCAAACCGGGAGAUAGCUGGUUCUCCCCGAAAGCUAUUUAGGUAGCGCCUCGUGAAUUCAUCUCCGGGGGUAGAGCACUGUUUCGGCAAGGGGGUCAUCCCGACUUACCAACCCGAUGCAAACUGCGAAUACCGGAGAAUGUUAUCACGGGAGACACACGGCGGGUGCUAACGUCCGUCGUGAAGAGGGAAACAACCCAGACCGCCAGCUAAGGUCCCAAAGUCAUGGUUAAGUGGGAAACGAUGUGGGAAGGCCCAGACAGCCAGGAUGUUGGCUUAGAAGCAGCCAUCAUUUAAAGAAAGCGUAAUAGCUCACUGGUCGAGUCGGCCUGCGCGGAAGAUGUAACGGGGCUAAACCAUGCACCGAAGCUGCGGCAGCGACACUAUGUGUUGUUGGGUAGGGGAGCGUUCUGUAAGCCUGUGAAGGUGGCCUGUGAGGGUUGCUGGAGGUAUCAGAAGUGCGAAUGCUGACAUAAGUAACGAUAAAGCGGGUGAAAAGCCCGCUCGCCGGAAGACCAAGGGUUCCUGUCCAACGUUAAUCGGGGCAGGGUGAGUCGACCCCUAAGGCGAGGCCGAAAGGCGUAGUCGAUGGGAAACAGGUUAAUAUUCCUGUACUUGGUGUUACUGCGAAGGGGGGACGGAGAAGGCUAUGUUGGCCGGGCGACGGUUGUCCCGGUUUAAGCGUGUAGGCUGGUUUUCCAGGCAAAUCCGGAAAAUCAAGGCUGAGGCGUGAUGACGAGGCACUACGGUGCUGAAGCGACAAAUGCCCUGCUUCCAGGAAAAGCCUCUAAGCAUCAGGUAACAUUAAAUCGUACCCCAAACCGACACAGGUGGUCAGGUAGAGAAUACCAAGGCGCUUGAGAGAACUCGGGUGAAGGAACUAGGCAAAAUGGUGCCGUAACUUCGGGAGAAGGCACGCUGAUAUGUAGGUGAAGCGACUUGCUCGUGGAGCUGAAAUCAGUCGAAGAUACCAGCUGGCUGCAACUGUUUAUUAAAAACACAGCACUGUGCAAACACGAAAGUGGACGUAUACGGUGUGACGCCUGCCCGGUGCCGGAAGGUUAAUUGAUGGGGUUAGCGGCAACGCGAAGCUCUUGAUCGAAGCCCCGGUAAACGGCGGCCGUAACUAUAACGGUCCUAAGGUAGCGAAAUUCCUUGUCGGGUAAGUUCCGACCUGCACGAAUGGCGUAAUGAUGGCCAGGCUGUCUCCACCCGAGACUCAGUGAAAUUGAACUCGCUGUGAAGAUGCAGUGUACCCGCGGCAAGACGGAAAGACCCCGUGAACCUUUACUAUAGCUUGACACUGAACAUUGAGCCUUGAUGUGUAGGAUAGGUGGGAGGCUUUGAAGUGUGGACGCCAGUCUGCAUGGAGCCGACCUUGAAAUACCACCCUUUAAUGUUUGAUGUUCUAACGUGGGCCCCUUACCGGGGUUGCGGACAGUGUCUGGUGGGUAGUUUGACUGGGGCGGUCUCCUCCUAAAGAGUAACGGAGGAGCACGAAGGUUGGCUAAUCCUGGUCGGACAUCAGGAGGUUAGUGCAAUGGCAUAAGCCAGCUUGACUGCGAGCGUGACGGCGCGAGCAGGUGCGAAAGCAGGUCAUAGUGAUCCGGUGGUUCUGAAUGGAAGGGCCAUCGCUCAACGGAUAAAAGGUACUCCGGGGAUAACAGGCUGAUACCGCCCAAGAGUUCAUAUCGACGGCGGUGUUUGGCACCUCGAUGUCGGCUCAUCACAUCCUGGGGCUGAAGUAGGUCCCAAGGGUAUGGCUGUUCGCCAUUUAAAGUGGUACGCGAGCUGGGUUUAGAACGUCGUGAGACAGUUCGGUCCCUAUCUGCCGUGGGCGCUGGAGAACUGAGGGGGGCUGCUCCUAGUACGAGAGGACCGGAGUGGACGCAUCACUGGUGUUCGGGUUGUCAUGCCAAUGGCACUGCCCGGUAGCUAAAUGCGGAAGAGAUAAGUGCUGAAAGCAUCUAAGCACGAAACUUGCCCCGAGAUGAGUUCUCCCUGACCCUUUAAGGGUCCUGAAGGAACGUUGAAGACGACGACGUUGAUAGGCCGGGUGUGUAAGCGCAGCGAUGCGUUGAGCUAACCGGUACUAAUGAACCGUGAGGCUUAACCUUACAACGCCGAAGGUGUUU
Molecule: ribosomal RNA, 2931 nt
Filed under: Escherichia coli
Lineage: Bacteria; Pseudomonadati; Pseudomonadota; Gammaproteobacteria; Enterobacterales; Enterobacteriaceae
Description: 23S ribosomal RNA
Rfam family: Bacterial large subunit ribosomal RNA
Source: RNAcentral